This is a non-coding RNA of Punica granatum (pomegranate), 803 nucleotides long. Lineage: Eukaryota; Viridiplantae; Streptophyta; Magnoliopsida; Myrtales; Lythraceae. The record is from RefSeq and is a predicted model, not a curated record.
CAGAUCCUUACCUCUUCACCUUUCGCCUUCUUCCUCGACCCGGCAGUCUGUGAUUAAACAGCCCUUGCCGCCUCCCUCGCCCUGCCGGCCGCUAGCCAUUCCACCCGCGGCCCAACUCAGAGCAGGUUCACCUUCUAUGCCUUCCAAAAUGCCACUCUUAUUCAAAGUUUCGUGCCUGUUCCCUUGCGGCUCCCUAAAUCGGCAAUUUCCUACUGACCUGUACUGAUGGGCUCCCUCUCCCUUCCUCUUCUCCCGGCCGUCUACUACUUGUACUCAUUCGUCUGAUCUCCUCCAUUUCCGUGGCACUCGGUCUUCUCCAAUCUGCUCGAUCAAAUGCCUGUUUCAAUCACGUCAAUGUGGACCGCGCCAGCCUAUCGCAUUUCUCAUCAAACUAGCAGUGCGAUCCUGUUACGUCUCUUAAUAUUUCAAAUGCCAUGAAUAGAGAUUAUCAGUCUUCAGAACUUGACGAAAAAUUCAGAUCAAGAUCAUCAACCCAGGUCAUUUUGCAUUAUAGGAGAUUGGUUAAGUGAUUUCCACAUCUCGAUAUGACGUGCCAAUUGUUCUUGCAUGGAAGGAUCAUUUCAGGUUUUAGCAAGUUAUUAGCUGAUGAUCUAGCAAACAUCAGGUGGUUAGAACAAAUGUCCUAAUUUAUCCUCUCCAAUGGAAGAAAUAUAGAUGUUGUAGUUUGUUAUUUCUAAGAGAAUGAUAGCCCUUCAAGGGUUUUUUUUUGAUAUUAUAUUACUUGAUAUUGUUCAUUUUCAUGACAUUAUGUCUGAAUCUUCUGCAGAACGUUGCAUUUUGGA